RNAcentral lists this unclassified non-coding RNA (424 nucleotides) under Hevea brasiliensis (rubber tree). The record is from RNAcentral. Lineage: Eukaryota; Viridiplantae; Streptophyta; Magnoliopsida; Malpighiales; Euphorbiaceae.
GCCUAACGGCUUGUUCACAAGAAAAGGGACUCUUUUAAACUCGUUCAUCCACCAUUUCUGAACGAUUCGAUCACCUCUCGUUAGAGCGGCCACACCCAGACCAUCCGGAUCUUGCAAAAUGGGAUUGUUCAGCGGAUUCAGUACCUCCCAGUUGGACUUAAACAUCCUAUCCCGACGCAAAAAAUCCCCCUUCUUAUCGAACCAGUCUCCCCACCCAUCUCUUAAGGGCGAAACUUUUCCACCCACCUUUAACAAAAGCGCAUCCUCGAUCCCAGUCAUUUCGCUUGCUUUCCUCCUCACCUCUUCGUCAACCGGCACAUCAUCAGAGCCAAACGCAGCUUUACUGCGAUCCUCUUCACCUAAUCCGAUAGGAAAACCAGAAGUGUCAUCAGACCAAUCUUGGAUGGAACGUUUGUUAUCAAAA